Molecule: long non-coding RNA, 253 nt
Filed under: Elaeis guineensis (African oil palm)
Lineage: Eukaryota; Viridiplantae; Streptophyta; Magnoliopsida; Arecales; Arecaceae
Description: long non-coding RNA (EGUI_LNC060881)
Source: RNAcentral
AAGCAGACCUUCCACAGCCCUAGGGUUUGAAAACUUGUAAAUGUAUUGCGAGCAAUCCCGCUUUAAAUCAAGAUUUCUUUCAGACUUGCACAUCUUCCCCUUUUUGGCAUAGACUUGUAACGACAGGGGAUGACCCCAUCGGACAACAAAAAUAAACCCUAACAUGAGCAAGGUCGAAGGCCCGAUUAUUUGUAGAUCGGAUGGGGGGAGAGGCCAUACAGCGCCCAUAUGCGCCCCUACAGCCAUGUUAGGG